AAAAACAUCGCCUUCUGAAAAUCAAUUGAAGGUCCAGCCUGCCCAGUGAUAAACUUCAACGGCCGCGGUAUUUUAACCGUGCAAAGGUAGCACAAUCACUUGUCCUUUAAAUGGGGACUAGUAUGAAUGGCAUCACGAGGGUUGUACUGUCUCCUCCCUUUAAUCAGUGAAACUAAUCCCCCCGUGAAGAAGCGGGGAUAAGCCUAUAAGACGAGAAGACCCCAUGGAGCUUAAAACAAGUAUCAAUUGCACACCCAAAUAUCACCCAAAUAGAGCAAACCUGUUUACUAGUUUUUGGUUGGGGCGACCGCGGAGUAAAAACAAACCUCCACGACGAAUGGAAAUAACUGCCUAAUCAAAGAGCCACACCUCGCAGAAUCAAAACAUUGACCUAAAUUGAUCCAAUAAACUUGAGCAACGAACCAAGUUACCCUGGGGAUAACAGCGCAAUCCAUUUCAAGAGCCCAUAUCGACAAAUGGGUUUACGACCUCGAUGUUGGAUCAGGGUAUCCCAGUGGUGCAGCCACUACUAAAGGUUCGUUUGUUCAACGAUUAAAACCCUACGUGAUCUGA
RNAcentral lists this ribosomal RNA (573 nucleotides) under Asterophrys slateri (Slater's Callulops frog). RNAcentral's name for it is "Metamagnusia slateri (Slater's Callulops frog) partial 16S ribosomal RNA". It matches the Rfam family "Bacterial large subunit ribosomal RNA", at positions 1809 to 2608 of the family's 2925-position model. Lineage: Eukaryota; Metazoa; Chordata; Amphibia; Anura; Microhylidae. The record is from RNAcentral.